AUUGAACGCUGGCGGCAGGCCUAACACAUGCAAGUCGAGCGGCAGCGGAAAGAAGCUUGCUUCUUUGCCGGCGAGCGGCGGACGGGUGAGUAAUGUCUGGGGAUCUGCCCGAUGGAGGGGGAUAACUACUGGAAACGGUAGCUAAUACCGUAUAACGUCGCAAGACCAAAGUGGGGGACCUUCGGGCCUCACACCAUCGGAUGAACCCAGAUGGGAUUAGCUAGUAGGUGGGGUAAUGGCUCACCUAGGCGACGAUCCCUAGCUGGUCUGAGAGGAUGACCAGCCACACUGGAACUGAGACACGGUCCAGACUCCUACGGGAGGCAGCAGUGGGGAAUAUUGCACAAUGGGGGAAACCCUGAUGCAGCCAUGCCGCGUGUGUGAAGAAGGCCUUCGGGUUGUAAAGCACUUUCAGCGGGGAGGAAGGCGAUGGCGUUAAUAGCGCUAUCGAUUGACGUUACCCGCAGAAGAAGCACCGGCUAACUCCGUGCCAGCAGCCGCGGUAAUACGGAGGGUGCGAGCGUUAAUCGGAAUUACUGGGCGUAAAGCGUACGCAGGCGGUCUGUUAAGUCAGAUGUGAAAUCCCCGGGCUCAACCUGGGAACUGCAUUUGAAACUGGCAGGCUAGAGUCUCGUAGAGGGGGGUAGAAUUCCAGGUGUAGCGGUGAAAUGCGUAGAGAUCUGGAGGAAUACCGGUGGCGAAGGCGGCCCCCUGGACGAAGACUGACGCUCAGGUACGAAAGCGUGGGGAGCAAACAGGAUUAGAUACCCUGGUAGUCCACGCUGUAAACGAUGUCGAUUUGAAGGUUGUGGCCUUGAGCCGUGGCUUUCGGAGCUAACGCGUUAAAUCGACCGCCUGGGGAGUACGGCCGCAAGGUUAAAACUCAAAUGAAUUGACGGGGGCCCGCACAAGCGGUGGAGCAUGUGGUUUAAUUCGAUGCAACGCGAAGAACCUUACCUACUCUUGACAUCCAGAGAACUUGGCAGAGAUGCUUUGGUGCCUUCGGGAGCUCUGAGACAGGUGCUGCAUGGCUGUCGUCAGCUCGUGUUGUGAAAUGUUGGGUUAAGUCCCGCAACGAGCGCAACCCUUAUCCUUUGUUGCCAGCGAUUCGGUCGGGAACUCAAAGGAGACUGCCGGUGAUAAACCGGAGGAAGGUGGGGAUGACGUCAAGUCAUCAUGGCCCUUACGAGUAGGGCUACACACGUGCUACAAUGGCGCAUACAAAGAGAAGCGAUCUCGCGAGAGUCAGCGGACCUCAUAAAGUGCGUCGUAGUCCGGAUUGGAGUCUGCAACUCGACUCCAUGAAGUCGGAAUCGCUAGUAAUCGUGGAUCAGAAUGCCACGGUGAAUACGUUCCCGGGCCUUGUACACACCGCCCGUCACACCAUGGGAGUGGGUUGCAAAAGAAGUAGGUAGCUUAACCUUCGGGAGGGCGCUUACCACUUUGUGAUUCAUGACUGGGGUG
Molecule: ribosomal RNA, 1464 nt
Filed under: Sodalis endosymbiont of Elasmucha putoni
Lineage: Bacteria; Pseudomonadati; Pseudomonadota; Gammaproteobacteria; Enterobacterales; Bruguierivoracaceae
Description: bacterial SSU rRNA
Rfam family: Bacterial small subunit ribosomal RNA
Source: RNAcentral